CGGACCGCAAGGACUAAAACUACAAAGGAAGUUGACGGGACCCGCACAAGCGGUGGAUGAUGUGGAUUAAUUCGAUGCAACGCGAAAAACCUUACCUACCCUUGACAUGUCAGGAAUCCCGAAGAGAUUUGGGAGUGCUCGCAAGAGAGCCUGAACACAGGUGCUGCAUGGCUGUCGUCAGCUCGUGUCGUGAGAUGUUGGGUUAAGUCCCGCAACGAGCGCAACCCUUGUCAUUAAUUGCCAUCAUUCAGUUGGGCACUUUAAUGAGACUGCCGGUGACAAACCGGAGGAAGGUGGGGAUGACGUCAAGUCCUCAUGGCCCUUAUGGGUAGGGCUUCACACGUCAUACAAUGGUCGGUCCAGAGGGUUGCCAACCCGCGAGGGGGAGCCAAUCUCAGAAAGCCGAUCGUAGUCCGGAUCGCAGUCUGCAACUCGACUGCGUGAAGUCGGAAUCGCUAGUAAUCGCGGAUCAGCAUGUCGCGGUGAAUACGUUCCCGGGUCUUGUACACACC
RNAcentral lists this ribosomal RNA (512 nucleotides) under uncultured bacterium. RNAcentral's name for it is "bacterial SSU rRNA". It matches the Rfam family "Bacterial small subunit ribosomal RNA", at positions 883 to 1391 of the family's 1533-position model. The record is from RNAcentral.